UUAAAUAUAACUUAAACUUUUGCUGUUUUAGAUGCUCAAAGUUAUAUUGAAGUUGUAGCCGACAACAUCAAUGAAGUUGCUUUAGAGAGGAUCAGUCAGUUAAACCCCUAUUAUAUGAUUUAAUAAUUUAGUAUUUAGUCAUUUACUACUAGCUUCUCUUACUGUGAUGGAGACAUUUAAAGAGGAAACAGCUAGUGCAUAGCUUUACAAUAUAGAUAGUGAGGAAUUAAUGGGUAUGUUUAGUGAUGCAAAAGUAUGGUUUCCUAAUGCAACAAUUUGUUAUAUCACUUGCAAACUAAGAUCAAAAAAGAAUAGGACUGUUGACUAUCUAGACACUCCAGAUUUAAGUUUAAGAGAAAAGAUUGUUAAAUGGUCAAUUAAUGUAGCACGUAAAAACAAAUUUACAUAUUGACUGAAUCGAUGCAAAGUAAGAGAUGAGAUUUGCCAAAGACAAAAAAUCAAGUGGCAAAGUUAAUAAAAGGAAAAAAUGACUUCAUUUACACCAUUUCUUACUGGAAAGAUGAUGAAACUGAUAUUGAAGCUGCUGACUAUUGCAUGAAAAAGACCCAGCAUGCUGCUGAUGUUGUUUCUGUACUAAAACAUCAUCAACAUAUCUAUUAUGAGUUUUACAUUCAUCUCUCAUAUUUGGUGGUUGUCUGGUAUGAAUUUAUUUUUUAAAUUGUUUCCAGUUUCAUAAUUUUUUUUUUAAUUUAUUAUUCAAAUUUUGAAAACAGUAAUUGCAUAUUUUUUCUUUUUUU
Hydra vulgaris (swiftwater hydra) is the source of this 758-nucleotide long non-coding RNA. RefSeq lists it as uncharacterized. Lineage: Eukaryota; Metazoa; Cnidaria; Hydrozoa; Anthoathecata; Hydridae. The record is from RefSeq and is a predicted model, not a curated record.